Molecule: long non-coding RNA, 757 nt
Organism: Planococcus citri (citrus mealybug)
Lineage: Eukaryota; Metazoa; Arthropoda; Insecta; Hemiptera; Pseudococcidae
Exons: 2
Source: RefSeq, a predicted model, not a curated record
AAUUUUUCUGGAAACCCACCAAGUGCUGGAAAAAAACCAAUCCAACAACCUGGUCAUUAGUACAUUACACUUGGUAAACAAUUCCGCCAACAUAUCCGUAAUUCACGACAUCAAUUACCGACCGAAAAAACAAAAAAAAUAACAUAAUGUAUAUGUCCAAGGAACAUUCUAAUAGAUAAGGUACAGUAUACCUAUACUAUACAGCCCAUUGUCGAAGGUCAUAACGCGACAAUUGUACACUCAUACGAGUAAUUAUAUAAAUAAACACUAUACUCUGACGAGUAAAUUACUCGACCAGUGCAUUACUGAAAAUAAUAUUGUGUAGUUUUAAGCCAAAAAAAAACCACGUACAUUUUAAUAGAAUUUCCCUUAUGAUGUAAUUUGAUUACUAGCUUUAGACCCGGUAGGUAAACUCUAAGUAAACGAAACGACGACAGAAGAGAGGAAUAAACGACGAUGUCGUUUUAAUUACAACUUGAACGAAUAAUCUACAUAGAUGUUAAGUUAAACGCGGCUUAAUGGAGAUGAGAAGAGAAAAAAAUCAUCGAAGAUGAUCUUAAUUCCAACUAGUAGAACCGGUUCACAGUUAAAAUGAGAUGAGCUAAUUAUGCUGACAACACGAUGGGAUACGAUAAUACCGAUGGCACUUGACAGCACAAUGUUUAAAAAAAGAUGCCAGAGAAAAUGGGCUUUUUACCUGUGUACGAAGCAGUCGAGCUUUCUUGUAAUUUAAAAGUAAACGGUAUAUGAACUUUCA